RNAcentral lists this long non-coding RNA (1294 nucleotides) under Equus asinus (donkey). RNAcentral describes it as "lncRNA (ENSEASG00005031509.1)". Lineage: Eukaryota; Metazoa; Chordata; Mammalia; Perissodactyla; Equidae. The record is from RNAcentral.
CUGGGCCACCUGGCCGGCCCCUCAUUAUUUCUUAAUAAGAUAAACUAUACUCACAAUGCUGAAUGCCAGAGGAAUUAAGAAUACAAUUGUCGAUACUAAACUUCCAUUGUCACGGACAAAUCUUCUUUACAGAGUUUAUAAAUACAUUUCGAAAAUCUCACUGUCAGUACUUUUUUUUUCCAACUCUUUCAAUAAAGCCUAGAGUUAAAAAAAGAAAAAAAAAAAAGGAUGGCGCCCUCCGGUGGGGGCGCGGCACAAGGAGAGCACGAAGAUGGCGUCUACCGGCCUCGUCCGCAGAGCAGGAGGCCUCCAGAUACUUGCCAGACCAGGUGCCUGCCCCUCAGGCCAAGGCUCCAAGACCAGGAAAUGAGCCUCUUUCAGUCUGGGCGCCUCUCCUGGCCGAUUCUGCACUGGGCCCGGGAGCAGGCUCCUGGAUUUAUGAAGUUGGAGUCGGUGUUCAGAGUCCACAUUUUAUGAUGUCGAGAGUUGGCGUUGUUUCGUCUUUCCCCAUGACCUGUUUUAACGGUGCCCAGUUGCAACUUGUCACAAAGAAGUCUUCCUCCCACAGAGGCCAGGGAUACGAUGAAGUCACACGCAGGGAGCACCCGAGUAAGAAUUGCUCAGAAGCAAAUAUGGUUCUGAAGACAGUCUCGGUAUAUUUUAAAUUAUUUGCAUCAGAGAUUCAGACAUGGCUCAGAAAAGCAACAGGAAAAGAAAAUCAAGAAACAACUUUGGUAUUAUUUAUAAAGAAUGAAUUAUUUUUAUGCUGAUUCUCUACGAAUGACCCAGAGUUUAAAAGAGUGUGUUGAUGGCGAUUCUAGCAACUCUGUAAAAAAUGUAACAGGGGCGGAGUAAGCAUCAAAGAAGAAAGACAGCCAGCACCUUCUAUGCUCAUCCUACAUUUAUAUUUGGGAGCAAAUAUCCACCUUAUAAUGGAAGUGCAUGACCACUUCAGCCACAAAAUACAUAUACUGUUGAUAUAUGUUCGGUCCCAUACUCAUCUUGGCUUUGUUCAACAUCGCCAAUGGAAAUUAAAGAGAAGGGCAUUUUUUGUUGUUGUUAUCACCUUCUGAAAAUCUUUUGUUGUUGCCUUUCAAAAAUUAAAAUUCUUCUUGGGGCCAGCCCUGUGGUAUGGUGGUUGAGUUUGGUGCACUCUGCUUCGGCAGCCCAGGUUCGCAGGUUCGGAUCCUGGGCAUGUCCUUUGUGUCAAUUAAUGUAUUUAUUAUUUAACUGAGGGUAUUUUGUAAAACAGUUAAAAGUUCAGAAACAUAGUAUUAAAGACCUCAUUACUUUA